Molecule: ribosomal RNA, 467 nt
Filed under: uncultured bacterium
Lineage: Bacteria
Description: partial 16S ribosomal RNA
Rfam family: Bacterial small subunit ribosomal RNA
Source: RNAcentral
ACGAACGCUGGCGGCGUGCUUCACUCAUGCCAGUCGAACGGAAAGGCCCUGCUUUUGUGGGGUGCUCGAGUGGCGACCGGGUGAGUAACACGUGAGUAACCUGCCCUUGACUUUGGGAUAACUUCAGGAAACUGGGGCUAAUACCGGAUAGGAGCUCCUGCUGCCUGGUGGGGGUUGGAAAGUUUCGGCGGUUGGGGAUGGACUCGCGGCUUAUCAGCUUGUUGGUGGGGUAGUGGCUUACCAAGGCUUUGCCGGGUAGCCGGCCUGAGAGGGUGACCGGCGACAUGGGGACUGAGAUACGGCCCAGACGCCAACGGGAGGCAGCGGUGGGGAAUAUUGCACAAUGGGCGGAAGCCUGAUGCAGCAACGCCGCGUGCGGGAUGACGGCCUUCGAGUUGUAAACCGCUUUCGCCGGUGACGAAGCGUGAGUGACGGUAAUGGGUAAAGAAGCACCGGCUAACUACGUG